Acanthosepion pharaonis is the source of this 101-nucleotide non-coding RNA. The record is from the annotation of a GenBank genome assembly. NCBI's taxonomy places the organism in Eukaryota, Metazoa, Mollusca, Cephalopoda, Sepiida, Sepiidae.
ACCACAUCACGUUCAAACACCAAUGACGAACGAAGUUAAGCAACGUAGAGCAUGGUUAGUACUUAGAUGGGUGACCGCUUGGGAAUACUAGGUGUUGUAAG